CGUUCCAGUUACAGAGUAUAUAGUUCAAUGAAAAAUAUAUACAGAUAUCUCCAAACAGGUGGAACAAUCCCUAACAUUACAGUUACUAGAAUCUGAUAACUUCCGCCAUUUUUUGGCAAAAAUCAGGCGUUCUCUCUCUUACACACGAGCCCAACGGAUUGCGGUACUUUCUAUAUUUAGUGACUUUAGGUAUUACAUCUAUAGCAAGCUUUUCCUUAGUUUGCGCACACGUCAGCGGUAUAUUAUGAAGUCAUCACUGAGUAUGUUUACAUAGCAUCAUGCAACCAAUGGAAGAGAAUAGCUGGCCAUACACAUAGAGGUUGAUCCGUCGCUGGUUUAAACUGCGACAGAUAAAUGUCAGUUUGAUGUGUCACUGUCAUGGUUAAAUCUGGUUGUCACUGUGGUACUUGAUACCUAGAGCUAAAGUACCUUUUAGAUAUCUGCAUGUCCUUUUCACAUUCCGCCAACCACUUUUAGCUGGGUUCUGCAGCUGUCUGGAUACUAGUCCUACAGCAAUGCUAUGUCUGGACAUGUUCCGACCAUGAGAUAAAAGCAUCUACUGCAUCUCUGUGUGGAAAAUCCUUCUGUACAGGAUUACAUAAUAUGAUGCAAAGGAAAGUGGAUGAUGUAGAUCCAUUAUGCAAAAGCGCUUCAGAAUCUUCUUCAUAUAGGAUUCUUGCUUUAUUGUAAUGGAUCCGUCAGCGUCGCCUACUUGCUCUAUCUCUAAACUUAAGUAGAAUGAUGCCGGUUUUUCAGUAAUCUUCAAUUUUUAUCUCAGAUCAGAUAAAAAGUCAUGUAUGAGUUUCUCAUCACUUGCUGCUAAAGACCAUCAACAAUCAGCGUCACUGUACUUAAAAUCCAUUUCAAGAAGGAUCUCUUUAGAGCAGCAGUUCCAGCACCUUGGUACUUGUUUCAAACGAUACAAGGUUUAGUGUAAUCAACAGACCUUUGAAGAUCAAUCACUUGUAUUUUCCUUCUAAAUUUCUGAUUUGAACUUUUGUCGAAAAUCUUUCCAUCUUGAACAUGUUACGUACCUUAUUACUUCUCCAGUCCUGGGCCCAUAACCUGUUCGCUUCACUUUUAGUGCAACAGUGAAAUUGGAGCGUGUAUAGAAUUAACUCAUCUCUUUGAAUGGACAUUCUAUUUUCUAAUGACAGCAUUGACAGCAGUAAAAACAUUUUUCAUAAUUUGUUUUAAACAAUAUGUCGAUGGUAUUAAGUCAUAAAACCAUAGUAACUAACUUUUACAUUAUUAAACCAUCAUCAAUGUAACCAGCUUUAAUAAUGAACGCCGAUAUACAUGCAACCAUUGAACGUGUGUUUUAACUAAAUGGAGUUUCGAAUCGCUGCUUGUGUGAAACUAUCAACAUCGCUAACAAGUUUCUUACAUUGGCUUGUUUUUUAGGACUUUCUAGAGGUUUGUCCAAUUUAGAAAUUUGUUAAAUAGGAGUUACCGUUCGCAGGGUAAUAUUUAACGCAUCUCUCUUACUGCUGCAAAUAAUAAAAGUGGACCACCAUUAUCUCUUUCUCGAAUAAAAUUAAUAUGUUGCUUACUUUUUCUUAGUUAACUCGAUUUGGGUUAUACCACUUUUGGCGCAGAAUAUCGCAGUGAGGCUUAUGGAAGAAAUGCUUCUAUAUUUUGAUCAUUAUGAAACUAAUGGAUUCUUUAUCGGCUAAUGUAGCAAAAUAUGAUAAUAUAAUGAAAAUGGUAGCAAACGUUUGUCAAAUUUCACGUGCCGCAAUGUAAACAUAAACUACUACAAUUUCGAUUGACAGGGCCAACUGUGAAUUUAAAUUUUGUUACUCACUUGGUGUUUUCAAGCAUUUUACAAACGACCAGAUGUACAAUACUCACGCUACUUAAUAAUCAUGUUUUGAUUUUUUUAUAAUAAUAAUAAUAUAUUUUAACCUUUUAGCUGUAGCUAUUUAACAAUAGAUGAGGCAAGUCAGUACAAAUACAUAUAGUAUAUAUAAAAUAACAACAGAUAAAACACGAAUGAGACAACAAUUUAGAAAUUAACUCAUUACAACAAAUACUACGUGCAUUCUUAUUACUUUUUGAAUCAAUGGUUCUGAAAAUGAUGUUUAAGGGUCGAUUCUACAAUGCAGGUAUAUACCGAGAAUAAACGUCAACGGUUAUGUUGGGUACCAUUGCCUCAACCAAUAGAAUAUAGGUUGCUAUGGCAGUUAUUCCAAGGAUAUCUUAUUCAGUGUAAAGAUGUAAUUGUAGAACCAGCCCUUAGACUCUCUUGGAUUAGAGUAAUUUUUGACAUUGUUCCAAUCAGUAUGUGCUACAUUUAACAAACUUCUUGAGUCAUUCCCACGAACUUAUAAAUUAAGAUGGACUGCUAAUGCUGAAUUGACAAAUGACACCUACAUGGGGGCAGCCAUGAUGUGCACUCACUUGGCGCGAAAUUCAAAUCAGCUAAUAAACCAGCAUUAACCUCUCGUUUUCUAAAUAAAUUACUCUGACACAUGUCAUUUUCCAAGGCUGCAAUAGUCUCAAAACUUGAGCACUAGGAAAAUUCCCCUAGAAAAUAACUAAAACGUGCACCUCAUGGCCGCGCCCAUGCUAGGGCCAUUUCUACCUCUAUGCAACUGUUUGAUCAGCAGUCCAUCUUAAUUUAUAAGUUCGUGGUCAUUCCUUUAACUUAACCUUUCAUAAUUUGAUACUGCAAAAACAAAAGAAAAUUUCCAAUGCUUGCUAUGUAAAUAGUCUAGCAUUUUUUGUAUCUUUAGAUAACCGAACCUCUCAUUGCAAAUGUUUCACAUUACGCAAAGAGGCUAGAAUAGCUUUGGGAUAUUACGGCAAAAUCGUCCUAGCCCUGUCCGUUCUUAGACUGUGUCCGUAAGGCAUUUCUGUUUGUAAACUGCCAGAAUCUGUGCGUGACUUUUGACGUAGAAUAUAUUCAAUAUGGUAUAUCUCAGGCUACCAUCAUGUGUGAUAAGUAAAUUGAAAUUUUAUUAAGGCAUUUAAGUAAUUACAUGUAUGCAUAUCGAUUGCGAGAUGUAUGGCCCGGACAAGUGUGAACUUAACUUUUUUGCGACUUUCUCAUGUUAGUUGGUUUGAAUUUAUUGGCAUAUUUAUACCUCCAAGUGGUCCUUAAGUCCUAUAGUAAGUUAUACAACUGAAAAACGGAAUUUGUCAUAUUUAAACUAAUUGAUUUAAUGUCGAAAGUUGUAUAAACGUAUAGGACUUUUGGCCUAUGACAUUCUACACAAUAAAGAGACAACAGGAGAAAUUUAUAAAUCACAGCCGUUUCUUUAUUAGUGUGGAAAGUGAAUGGCGUUUGUUGUGAUUUAACAAUUUAGGCAGGUGCACGUUAUACGUAUUAAUUUAACGACACGUGAUUGUAUUCCAUCUUAAUUUUAUUAUUAUUACUCGCUGAAUGCUUUUUAAUUGUUGCGUCUUUUUGAAUUUUAUACUUACUGUGAUAAUUUAGUCAGUUUUAAAUUCGUAGAUGUGCUUUUUUAUGUACAAAAGAAAAAAAAUGAAAUUUGUUACGAACUGAAAAAUGAUUAUGCAUGACAUUAUCAUAAAUGGUACAAGAAAAAGUAGAGGUAAUAUUUUGUAGUU
Photinus pyralis (common eastern firefly) is the source of this 3576-nucleotide long non-coding RNA. RefSeq lists it as uncharacterized. The record is from RefSeq and is a predicted model, not a curated record. Lineage: Eukaryota; Metazoa; Arthropoda; Insecta; Coleoptera; Lampyridae. The transcript is spliced from 2 exons.